GCAGGAGCAGCAGCAGCAGGAGGAGGAGCUGCAGCAGCAGCAAUAGGAGCAGCAGGAGCAGCAGCAGCAGUAGGAGCUGCAGCAGCAGUAGCAGCAGCAGUAGUCACACCAGUAGCAGCAGCAGCAGCAGCAACAGCAGUAGCAGCAGCAGCAGCAGCAGCAGCGGCAGCAGCAGAUCCCCUGAAGCUCAAGUGGGUACUGAGAGCAAAACUUACAUUUUUCUGCAAAAGCUCUUAACCCCUGAACCAUCUUUCCAGGCCCCACAGGUCUCUUCUUUGAUCACUCUCUACCUUAUAAACUGAGACAGGACCACUCACCUGAACCCAGAGCUUCUUGAUUCAGCUAAUCUAGCUAGUCAGCUUGCUCCAGGGAUCCUGACUGCACCUCCUGAGCACUGAGGUUAAUAGUGGCUCACAGAUGCCUCACAUCUGUGCAGGUCCUGAAGAUCAAAUUCUGAUCUUCACCCUAAGUAGUAGUUUGCACAGCAACUAUCUCCCCUCCCUAACCCGCUCCUGAGAGAUUUUUUUUUUUUUGAGCCAAACUUUUGACUGACUCACCUAUCUGUUUCAUUAGAAAAUCCUCCUAAACAGCUCUUUCUCCCUCCUCGGGAUUGGCUUUAUGGAAGAAUCUCCAGGGUAAGGAGAGGUGGACAUUACAGUUUUUUCUUCACUUUUACCUAGGUGUCACUCUUUCAUAUGCACAGAACUGACAUCAAAAGCAAUGAGCAGCACAAGGCUGCACAUUUCUUCAAGGUGACUUCCAGCACCUGCUCACAGAAGCAAUAUCAUAUAAAGAUGGGCAAAAAUACACAGGAUUGUAACAAAAAGAGGUGACUCAUCUCUGGAAAGGUUUCCCAACACAGAAGCCAGUGCAUCUUCAACAGGAACUGUGAACUCAUCUCCAUAUGACAGUUUAUCACAAGGGGUGUCUUUUCCUAGCACACCCACUUCCAAUAUGGUGUGCUUCCAAUACCCUUUUAGUAAGGGCUGGGAGAGGACUGUGGAUCAAACCCAGGGCCUUGAACAUGCUAGGCAAGCCCCCUACCACCAAGCAGUACCCCCACUCCGCCCCUUUCUCUCCUUUAUCUUUUUAUUUGGCUUUUAGAGAGCAGAUCUCACUAAGUAAACUCACCGGAUUGUGACCUACAAUACAGACACACACAAACACACACACACACCGUGGCCUCAGAGGUCCUGCUGCCUCUGUCUCCCAAGCGCUGGGAUUACAAAGGCACACCACGUUCCAGCAUACCCAGCUUUUCUUUUUCAAUCUCAAAACAUGAAAUGGAUUAUAUGUAUAGAAUAAAGUUUCAAAACCAUUUUCUCAUCUUUUCUUUAUUUGACAAAUACAGCACACACACAUACACACACACACACACACACACACACACACACACACCAGAACUGACACCUUAGAAAAAAGAAUUCUCUUUCCAAAAUGUUGCUAAAACUCUAAUUAUCACUUCUAAUAAAAACAUGAUAAAUGGCUAGCAUAGGCCAGUCCCCGCCAUGUAAUAUAAAAUUAUGGGUGGAGUUUUGGUUGUGUUAUGUUGUUGUUGUUGUUGCUGUUGUUGUUGUUACUGCUGCUGCUGCCAUUUCAUCUCUAUAUCAGCUUUUCUUAAAAUCCUCAUGAUCUAGGCUAAGUUAAAGCAAAACAAAAAUUAAAUACAAGCUUUAUUUAGAGAAACUGAUUUUAAAAAAUAAAAUUAUAAAGGGUGGUUAACAGUAGUCAGCUGUUAAACAGAGAGGCAGAGCAUGGACUGUGUAGUAAAUAAAUCCUCAUACUAAUAAUAUACUGCUUGCUAUCAUUUUGCACUGAGAAGAAAAUAAGAGGAAAGUAAACCCAUGUCAAAGCAGGAAAUAACUAUCACCGUGUGAAUACGUGUGGACCACUGUCUUAGGGUUUCUACUGCUGUGGUAAAGCAUCCUAACCAAGCAGAACAGCUCUCAGGUCCCUCCAUCACUACUUACCAGCUCGCUCACAAUGGGUUGAUGAGCACACUUUCCUGUAGCACCCAGAACUUACAGCACACAGUGUGCUGACCCCGACAGCAUCAGUUAUCGACCAAGAGAACUGCUGCACCGCAGGCCAAUCUGGUGGGAGCAUUUUCUCAAUUAAAGUUCCCUCUUCCAAAAUGAGUCUGGCUUGGGGGAAGCAGACAUAAAACCAGCUAACACAACACUGAUGCUAGGAAACUAAAUACACAGUUGUAUAGUGCCAUGAAACGAGUCCGUGCUUUAGCGUCUGAGAAACCUGAGGUCAAAUGCCAGCUUUGCUACUGGUUAGCGACUAUAAAGAAAUUGUAAUUAACCCAGGCUUCAAUUCUCCUGCUGUAAAGGUGUGGCAUCAUUCAGUACACAACAGAUUACAAAGAAGAUUAAAUAAGACACAACAUGCACAAAUUACAAAAAUUGGUACUUGAGUUCAACAAACAAACAAACAAACAAAAACCCACCUACCUGGUAGGAUUAAAC
RNAcentral lists this long non-coding RNA (2474 nucleotides) under Mus musculus (house mouse). Its description in RNAcentral is "long non-coding RNA chr1:104979589-104982063". Lineage: Eukaryota; Metazoa; Chordata; Mammalia; Rodentia; Muridae. The record is from RNAcentral.